RNAcentral lists this ribosomal RNA (395 nucleotides) under uncultured bacterium. RNAcentral describes it as "partial 16S ribosomal RNA". It matches the Rfam family "Bacterial small subunit ribosomal RNA", at positions 523 to 917 of the family's 1533-position model. The record is from RNAcentral.
AUACGUAGGGAGCGAGCGUUGUCCGGAAUUACUGGGUGUAAAGGGUGCGUAGGCGGGACUGCAAGUCAGAUGUGAAAUGCCGGGGCUCAACACCGGAGCUGCAUUUGAAACUGUGGUUCUUGAGUGUGGUAGAGGUAAGUGGAAUUCCUAGUGUAGCGGUGAAAUGCGUAGAUAUUAGGAGGAACAUCGGUGGCGAAGGCGGCUUACUGGGCCUUUACUGUCGCUGACGCACGAAAGCGUGGGGAGCAAACAGGAUUAGAUACCCUGUUAGUCCACUCUGUAAACGCUGAUGACUAGGUGUGGGGGGACUGAACCCUUCCGUGCCGCAGUUAACAAAAUAAGUCAUCCACCUGGGGAGUACGGCCGCAAGGUUGAAACUUAAAGGAAUUGACGGG